UGCCACAGCCCUAUCACCCUGUAGUCCGAGACCAGUUACUUACUGAAGCUGAGCAGGGCUGAGCCAGGUCAGUACCCGGAUGGGAGACCACAUGGUAAAAACUACAGUAAAUUGCUGUUGGAU
This 123-nucleotide ribosomal RNA is filed under the name Danio rerio (zebrafish). Lineage: Eukaryota; Metazoa; Chordata; Actinopteri; Cypriniformes; Danionidae. The record is from RNAcentral.